Molecule: ribosomal RNA, 504 nt
Filed under: uncultured bacterium
Lineage: Bacteria
Description: bacterial SSU rRNA
Rfam family: Bacterial small subunit ribosomal RNA
Source: RNAcentral
GAUGAACGCUAGCGGGAGGCUUAACACAUGCAAGUCGAGGGGCAGCAUAAGGUAGCAAUACUUUGAUGGCGACCGGCGCACGGGUGAGUAACGCGUAUGUAACCUGUCCUUAACAGGAGGAUAACCCGGAGAAAUUCGGACUAAUACUGCAUAAGAUUAUGAAUAGGCAUCUAUUAAUAAUUAAAGCUACGGCGGUUAGGGAGGGGCAUGCGUAACAUUAGCUGGUUGGUAGGGUAACGGCCUACCAAGGCAAUGAUGUUUAGGGGACCUGAGAGGGUGGUCCCCCACACUGGUACUGAGACACGGACCAGACUCCUACGGGAGGCAGCAGUGAGGAAUAUUGGUCAAUGGGCGCAAGCCUGAACCAGCCAUCCCGCGUGCAGGAAGACGGCCCUAUGGGUUGUAAACUGCUUUUCCAGGGAGAGAAACUUGCGUACGCGUUGCGCAAUUGACGGUACCCUGGGAAUAAGCAUCGGCUAACUCCGUGCCAGCAGCCGCGGUAAA